Molecule: ribosomal RNA, 301 nt
Filed under: uncultured bacterium
Lineage: Bacteria
Description: partial 16S ribosomal RNA
Rfam family: Bacterial small subunit ribosomal RNA
Source: RNAcentral
CAGCCGCCGCGGGAAUACGAAGGGUGCAAGCGUUACUCGGAAUUACUGGGCGUAAAGCGUGCGUAGGUGGUGGUUUAAGUCCGUUGUGAAAGCCCUGGGCUCAACCUGGGAAUUGCAGUGGAUACUGGGUCACUAGAGUGUGGUAGAGGAUAGUGGAAUUUCCGGUGCAGCAGUGAAAUGCGUAGAGAUCGGGAGGAACAUCAGUGGCGAAGGCGGCCAUCUGGGACAACACUGACGCUGAGGCACGAAAGCGUGGGGAGCAAACAGGAUUAGAUACCCCAGUAGUCCCUGUCUCUUAUAC